This 417-nucleotide ribosomal RNA is filed under the name uncultured bacterium. Its description in RNAcentral is "bacterial SSU rRNA". It matches the Rfam family "Bacterial small subunit ribosomal RNA", at positions 485 to 902 of the family's 1533-position model. The record is from RNAcentral.
AAUAAGCCCCGGCUAACUUCGUGCCAACAGCCGCGGUAAUACUAAGGGGGCUAGCGUUGCUCGGAAUUACUGGGCGUAAAGGGCGCGUAAGCGGACAUUUAAGUCAGGGGUGAAAUCCCAUAGCUCAACUCUGGAACUGCCUUUGAUACUGGGUGUCUUGACUGUGACAGAGGUAGGUGGAACUCCGAGUGUAAAGGUGAAAUUCAUAUAUAUUCGGAAGAACACCAUUGGCGAAUGCGACAUACUGGCUCAUUACUGACGCUGAGGCGCUAAAGCGUGGGGAGCAAACAGGAUUAAAUACCCUGGUAGUCCACGCCAUAAACUAUGAUGGCUAGCUGUCGGGCUGCAUGCAUUUCGGUGACGCAGCUAACGCAUUAAACUAUCCGCCUGGGGAGUACGGUCGCAAGAUUAAAACUC